GCAUAUCAAUAAGCGGAGGAAAAGAAACCAACAGGGAUUGCCCUAGUAACGGCGAGUGAAGCGGCAACAGCUCAAAUUUGAAAUCUGGCUCUCGGGCCCGAGUUGUAAUUUGUAGAGGAUACUUUUGAUGCGGUGCCUUCCGAGUUCCCUGGAACGGGACGCCAUAGAGGGUGAGAGCCCCGUCUGGUUGGAUGCCAAAUCUCUGUAAAGUUCCUUCAACGAGUCGAGUAGUUUGGGAAUGCUGCUCUAAAUGGGAGGUAUAUGUCUUCUAAAGCUAAAUACCGGCCAGAGACCGAUAGCGCACAAGUAGAGUGAUCGAAAGAUGAAAAGCACUUUGAAAAGAGAGUUAAAAAGUACGUGAAAUUGUUGAAAGGGAAGCGUUUAUGACCAGACUUGGGCUUGGUUAAUCAUCUGGGGUUCUCCCCAGUGCACUUUUCCAGUCCAGGCCAGCAUCAGUUUUCCCCGGGGGAUAAAGGCGGCGGGAAUGUGGCUCUCUUCGGGGAGUGUUAUAGCCCACCGUGUAAUACCCUGGGGGGGACUGAGGUUCGCGCAUCUGCAAGGAUGCUGGCGUAAUGGUCAUCAACGACCCGUCUUGAAACACGGACCAAGGAGUCGUCUUCGUAUGCGAGUGUUCGGGUGUCAAACCCCUACGCGUAAUGAAAGUGAACGCAGGUGAGAGCUUCGGCGCAUCAUCGACCGAUCCUGAUGUUCUCGGAUGGAUUUGAGUAAGAGCAUACGGGGCCGGACCCGAAAGAAGGUGAACUAUGCCUGUAUAGGGUGAAGCCAGAGGAAACUCUGGUGGAGGCUCGCAGCGGUUCUGACGUGCAAAUCGAUCGUCAAAUAUGGGCAUGGGGGCGAAAGACUAAUCGAACCUUCUAGUAGCUGGGUUUCUGCCGAAG
This 899-nucleotide ribosomal RNA is filed under the name Fusarium redolens. Its description in RNAcentral is "LSU rRNA". It matches the Rfam family "Eukaryotic large subunit ribosomal RNA", at positions 38 to 966 of the family's 3401-position model. Lineage: Eukaryota; Fungi; Ascomycota; Sordariomycetes; Hypocreales; Nectriaceae. The record is from RNAcentral.